AAGUAGAAGGGUGAACUCCGUUUGCGGGGGGAUCAGUGGAGAAUGGGUGACUCACACGAGGGCAACCUGCCCUCAGCUCUGGGAUAACUCCAAGAAAUUGGGGCUAAUACUGGAUAUGACUGCUGACCGCAUGGUCUGGUGGUGGAAAGAUUUAUCGGCUGGGGAUGGGCCCGCGGCCUAUCAUCUUGUUGGGGGGGUAGUGGCCUACCAACGCGACAACGGGUAGCCGGCCUGAGAGGGUGAUCCGGCCACACUGGGACUGAGACACGGCCCACACUCCUACGGGAGGGAGCAGCGGGGAAUAUUGCGCAGUGGGCGAAAGCCUGACUCACCGACUCCGCGUGGGGGAUGACGGCCCUCGGGUUGUAAACCUCUUUCAGCAGGGACCAAGCGGAAGUAACGGUUCCUGCAGAAGAAGGACCGGCCAACUACUUGCCAGCGGCCUCAGUAAUAGGUAGGGUGCACGCGCUGGCCGGAAUUAUUGGGCGUAAAGAGCUCGUAGGCGGUUUGUUGCGUCGGCUGUGAAAACCUGAGGCUCAACCUCAGGCCUGCAGUCGAUACGAGCAGACUAGAGUGUUGCAGGGGAGACUGGAAUUCCUGGUGUAGCGGUGAAAUGCGCAGAUAUCGGGAGGAACACCGGUGGCGAAGGCGGGUCUCUGGGCAACAACUGACGCUGAGGAGCGAAAGCGUGGGGAGCGAACAGGAUUAGAUACCCUGGUAGUCCACGCCGUAAACGUUGGGCGCUAGGUGUGGGGCUCAUUCCACGAGUUCCGUGCCGCAGCUAACGCAUUAAGCGCCCCGCCUGGGGAGUACGGCCGCAAGGCUAAAACUCAAAGGAAUUGACGGGGGCCCGCACAAGCGGCGGAGCAUGUUGCUUAAUUCGAUGCAACGCGAAGAACCUUACCUAGGCUUGACAUGCACGGAAAUCCUCCAGAGAUGGUGGGUCCGUAAGGGUCGUGCACAGGUGGUGCAUGGUUGUCGUCAGCUCGUGUCGUGAGAUGUUGGGUUAAGUCCCGCAACGAGCGCAACCCUCGUUCUAUGUUGCCAGCACGUGAUGGUGGGGACUCAUAGGAGACUGCCGGGGUCAACUCGGAGGAAGGUGGGGAUGACGUCAAAUCAUCAUGCCCCUUAUGUCUAGGGCUGCAAACAUGCUACAAUGGCCGGUACAAAGGGCUGCGAUACCGCGAGGUGGAGCGAAUCCCAAAAAGCCGGUCUCAGUUCGGAUUGGGGUCUGCAACUCGACCCCAUGAAGUUGGAGUCGCUAGUAAUCGCAGAUCAGCAACGCUGCGGUGAAUACGUUCCCGGGCCU
This 1309-nucleotide ribosomal RNA is filed under the name uncultured bacterium. RNAcentral describes it as "bacterial SSU rRNA". It matches the Rfam family "Bacterial small subunit ribosomal RNA", at positions 59 to 1381 of the family's 1533-position model. The record is from RNAcentral.